GAGUCUGCAGUGGGGAAUUUUGCGCAAUGCUCGUAAGAGUGACGCAGCGACGCCGCGUGAAUGACGAAGGCCUUCGGGUCGUAAAGUUCUUUCGACAGGGAAGAAAAUGCCUAUAAGUAACUGUGUAUGUAUUGACGGUACCUGUAUAAGCAGCCCCGGCUAACUCCGUGCCAGCAGCCGCGGUAAUACGGAGGGGGCGAGCGUUGUUCGGAGUGACUGGGCGUAAAGAGCACGUAGGCGGUGUUGUAAGUCAUUCGUCAAAGACUAGAGCUCAACUUUAGUAAGGCUAGUGAUACUAUAAUACUAGAGUAUCAGAGAGGAUUGCAGAAUUCCUGGUGUAGCGGUGAAAUGCGUAGAUAUUGCGCAGAACUCCGAUUGCGAAGGCAGCAUACCGGCGGCGAUCUGACGCUGAGGCACGAAAGCGUGGGUAUCGAACAGGAUUAGAUACCCGGGUAGUC
Molecule: ribosomal RNA, 458 nt
Filed under: uncultured bacterium
Lineage: Bacteria
Description: partial 16S ribosomal RNA
Rfam family: Bacterial small subunit ribosomal RNA
Source: RNAcentral